RNAcentral lists this ribosomal RNA (1251 nucleotides) under metagenome. RNAcentral describes it as "bacterial LSU rRNA". It matches the Rfam family "Bacterial large subunit ribosomal RNA", at positions 1263 to 2524 of the family's 2925-position model. The record is from RNAcentral.
GUAAGGAGCGGUGGACUGAUUACGAGUGAGAAUGUUGGCAUUAGUAGCGAGAUGUAAGUGAGAAUCUUACAGGCCGAAAAUCUAAGGUUUCCUGGGGAAGGCUCGUCCGCCCAGGGUUAGUCGGGACCUAAGCCGAGGCCGAAAGGCGUAGGUGAUGGACAAUUGGUUGAUAUUCCAAUACCACUAUUAUCGUUAUUAUCGAUGGUGUGACGGAGAAGGAUAGGAUGUGCUAGCGAUUGGAAAUGCUAGUCUAAGCAUUUAGGGAGUUAAAGUAGGCAAAUCCGCUUUAACAAUUCUGAGGUGUGAUGGGGAAGGUCAUUUUGACUGAAGUAUCUGAUUCCAUGCUUCCAAGAAAAGCAUCUAGAGAGAGAAGUAGUGCCCGUACCGCAAACCGACACAGGUAGAUGAGGAGAGAAUCCUAAGGCCAUCGGAAGAAUUGCAGUUAAGGAACUAGGCAAAUUGACCCCGUAAGUUCGCGAGAAGGGGUGCCUGUGAGAGCAGGCCGCAGAGAAUAGGCCCAAGCAACUGUUUAGCAAAAACACAGGUCUCUGCUAAAGCGAAAGCUGAUGUAUAGGGGCUGACGCCUGCCCGGUGCUGGAAGGUUAAGGGGAACACUUAGCGCAAGCGAAGGUGUGAACUUAAGCCCCAGUAAACGGCGGCCGUAACUAUAACGGUCCUAAGGUAGCGAAAUUCCUUGUCAGGUAAGUUCUGACCCGCACGAAUGGCGUAAUGACUUGGGCACUGUCUCAACUGUGAAUCCGGCGAAGUUGUAGUGCGAGUGAAGAUGCUCGCUACCCGCGAUUGGACGGAAAGACCCCGUAGAGCUUUACUGUAGCUUAGCAUUGAGUUUCGAUAUUGUCUGUACAGGAUAGGUGGGAGACUGAGAAGCUAGGGCGUCAGCCUUAGUGGAGUCAACCUUGGGAUACCACCCUGACAGUAUUGGGAUUCUAACCGGACGCCAUGAAUCUGGUGACGGGACAUUGUUAGGUGGGCAGUUUGACUGGGGCGGUCGCCUCCUAAAAAGUAACGGAGGCGCCCAAAGGUUCCCUCAGAACGGUCGGAAAUCGUUCGAAGAGUGCAAAGGCAGAAGGGAGCCUGACUGCGACACCCACAAGUGGAGCAGGGACGAAAGUCGGGCUUAGUGAUCCGGUGGUACCUCGUGGGAGGGCCAUCGCUCAACGGAUAAAAGCUACCUCGGGGAUAACAGGCUGAUCUCCCCCAAGAGUCCACAUCGACGGGGAGGUUUGGCAC